Molecule: ribosomal RNA, 468 nt
Filed under: uncultured bacterium
Lineage: Bacteria
Description: partial 16S ribosomal RNA
Rfam family: Bacterial small subunit ribosomal RNA
Source: RNAcentral
GAAGAAAGAGGGGGGCGUGCUUAACACAUGCAAGUCGAACGGAAAGGCCCUGCUUUUGUGGGGUGCUCGAGUGGCGAACGGGUGAGUAACACGUGAGUAACCUGCCCUUGACUUUGGGAUAACUUCAGGAAACUGGGGCUAAUACCGGAUAGGAGCUCCUGCUGCAUGGUGGGGGUUGGAAAGUUUCGGCGGUUGGGGAUGGACUCGCGGCUUAUCAGCUUGUUGGUGGGGUAGUGGCUUACCAAGGCUUUGACGGGUAGCCGGCCUGAGAGGGUGACCGGCGACAUUGGGACUGAGAUACGGCGCAGACUCCUACGGGAGGCAGCAGUGGGGAAUAUUGCACAAUGGGCGGAAGCCUGAUGCAGCAACGCCGCGUGCGGGAUGACGGCCUUCGGGUUGUAAACCGCUUUCGCCUGUGACGAAGCGUGAGUGACGGUAAUGGGUAAAGAAGCACCGGCUAACUACGUG